Molecule: ribosomal RNA, 497 nt
Filed under: uncultured bacterium
Lineage: Bacteria
Description: partial 16S ribosomal RNA
Rfam family: Bacterial small subunit ribosomal RNA
Source: RNAcentral
GAUGAACGCUGGCGGCGUGCCUAAUACAUGCAAGUCGAGCGAACGGACGAGAAGCUUGCUUCUCUGAUGUUAGCGGCGGACGGGUGAGUAACACGUGGAUAACCUACCUAUAAGACUGGGAUAACUUCGGGAAACCGGAGCUAAUACCGGAUGAUAUUUUGAACCGCAUGGUUCAAAAGUGAAAGACGGUCUUGCUGUCACUUAUAGAUGGAUCCGCGCUGCAUUAGCUAGUUGGUAAGGUAACGGCUUACCAAGGCAACGAUGCAUAGCCGACCUGAGAGGGUGAUCGGCCACACUGGAACUGAGACACGGUCCAGACUCCUGCGGGAGGCAGCAGUAGGGAAUCUUCCGCAAUGGGCGAAAGCCUGACGGAGCAACGCCGCGUGAGUGAUGAAGGUCUUCGGAUCGUAAAACUCUGUUAUUAGGGAGGAACAUAUGUGUAAGUAACUGUGCACAUCUUGACGGUACCUAAUCAGAAAGCCACGGCUAACUACGUG